UCCGGUUGAUCCUGCCAGAGGCCGCUGCUAUCCGGCUGGGACUAAGCCAUGCUAGUCUAGGGGCUUGUACUCCUUCGGGGGUGCAAGCACCGGCGGACGGCUCAGUAACACGUGGACAACCUGCCCUCGGGUGGGGGAUAACCCCGGGAAACUGGGGCUAAUCCCCCAUAGGUGAUGGGUGCUGGAAUGCCCCAUCUCCGAAAGCGCUUAGCGCCCGAGGAUGGGUCUGCGGCGGAUUAGGUAGUUGGUGGGGUAACGGCCCACCAAGCCUAAGAUCCGUACGGGCUGUGGGAGCAGGAGCCCGGAGAUGGACCCUGAGACAAGGGUCCAGGCCCUACGGGGCGCAGCAGGCGCGAAACCUCCGCAAUGCGGGAAACCGCGACGGGGUUAGCCGGAGUGCCCGUGCAUUGCACGGGCUGUCGGGGUGCCUAAACAGCACCCCAUAGCAAGGGCCGGGCAAGGCCGGUGGCAGCCGCCGCGGUAAGACCGGCGGCCCGAGUGGCGGCCACUCUUAUUGGGCCUAAAGCGUCCGUAGCCGGCCC
RNAcentral lists this ribosomal RNA (542 nucleotides) under uncultured archaeon. RNAcentral describes it as "bacterial SSU rRNA". It matches the Rfam family "Archaeal small subunit ribosomal RNA", at positions 1 to 531 of the family's 1478-position model. The record is from RNAcentral.